UAAGACGAACCGUCCAAACGUUAUUCGGAAUCACUGGGCUUAAAGGGUGCGUAGGCGGCGCGGCAAGUUGGGUGUGAAAUACCUCGGCUCAACCGAGGAACUGCGCCCAAAACUGCCGUGCUCGAGGAAGAUAGAGGUGAGCGGAACUUAGGGUGGAGCGGUGAAAUGCGUUGAUAUCCUAAGGAACACCGGUGGCGAAAGCGGCUCACUGGAUCUUUUCUGACGCUGAGGCACGAAAGCUAGGGUAGCGAACGGG
Molecule: ribosomal RNA, 256 nt
Filed under: uncultured archaeon
Lineage: Archaea
Description: partial 16S ribosomal RNA
Rfam family: Bacterial small subunit ribosomal RNA
Source: RNAcentral